GACGAACGCUGGCGGCGUGCUUAACACAUGCAAGUCGAACGGUGAAGCGCCUUCCUUUUUGGUGGGUGUGGAUGAGUGGCGAACGGGUGAGUAACACGUGAGUAACCUGCCCCCUUCUUCUGGAUAACCGCAUGAAAGUGUGGCUAAUACGGGAUAUUCUGGGUCUGUCGCAUGAUGGGUCUGGGAAAGAUAUUGUUUCGGUGGGGGAUGGGCUCGCGGCCUAUCAGCUUGUUGGUGGGGUGAUGGCCUACCAAGGCGGUGACGGGUAGCCGGCCUGAGAGGGUGGACGGACACACUGGGACUGAGACACGGCCCAGACUCCUACGGGAGGCAGCAGUGGGGAAUAUUGCACAAUGGGCGCAAGCCUGAUGCAGCGACGCCGCGUGAGGGAUGGAGGCCUUCGGGUUGUGAACCUCUUUCGCCAGUGAAGCAGGCCUGCCUCGUUUGUGGGUGGGUUGACGGUAGCUGGAUAAGAAGCGCCGGCUAACUACGUG
This 494-nucleotide ribosomal RNA is filed under the name uncultured bacterium. RNAcentral's name for it is "partial 16S ribosomal RNA". It matches the Rfam family "Bacterial small subunit ribosomal RNA", at positions 28 to 507 of the family's 1533-position model. The record is from RNAcentral.